Molecule: ribosomal RNA, 253 nt
Filed under: uncultured bacterium
Lineage: Bacteria
Description: partial 16S ribosomal RNA
Rfam family: Bacterial small subunit ribosomal RNA
Source: RNAcentral
UACAGAGGUCUCAAGCGUUGUUCGGAUUCAUUGGGCGUAAAGGGUGUGUAGGUGGCGCGCUAAGUCGGGUGUGAAAUUUCGGAGCUUAACUCCGAAACUGCAUUCGAUACUGGCGUGCUUGAGGACUGGAGAGGAGACUGGAAUUCAUGGUGUAGCAGUGAAAUGCGUAGAGAUCAUGAGGAAGACCAGUGGCGAAGGCGGCUUCCUGGCCUGUUCUUGACGCUGAGGCGCGAAAGCUAGGGGAGCAAACGGG